This 1021-nucleotide long non-coding RNA is filed under the name Capra hircus (goat). Its description in RNAcentral is "lncRNA (ENSCHIG00010015235.1)". Lineage: Eukaryota; Metazoa; Chordata; Mammalia; Artiodactyla; Bovidae. The record is from RNAcentral.
AUCUGAGGGCAGAUAGCCUUGGAGAAGGCUCCUGUACGAACUGUUCUUAUCUUGGCCGAGAGCGCUCUGGAAUCCAGGGUACGCAAACGACCCCCAACCCAAUGUCAGCGCUGCCUGUUGAGCCAGCCGUUCUAACAAUCAAAACAGAUCGAGUUACCCAAAGUGAAAUUCACAGACAAGAAAUACUUUAAUUAAAUAUCAUGUAAAAUGAACAUUUUAUACAGUUAAACAUCUGAAAAAAAAGUACAGAUAAAACAAUCUUAUUGUAGGGUCUUCAACAGUAAAAUCUACCAUUUAGUGGAGCGCUCGGUUUUGAGACGAUGACGCCGUGAGGGCAACUAGGUACUCUAAGACCCAAACCAGGUACGGGGUGAGCAAACUCACAAAUGUCCCCAAUGUGUACACAUGAGCUCAUUUUUAGGUCAAACCCUUACAUAUACAAAAUAAAAUGGAGGCAGGUGAGUUCCAAAGUGACUCCUCAGGCCGGUCACGGGGCCAGAGUGUGACCGCUAGCCUCCAGGAUAUUCCAAUUCCUCCAUUUAGUCCCACAAAUGAACACUUUCAAGUCUGGAAUGGUUUUGGUCUUUCUCAAGAGAAAUUUAAGAAGUCCCUCCUUUUUGUUUUAGAUUUGACUUCUGCUGCAAAGUGUUGGCUGUGCUGUGUCCGAAAAGGGAAAAGAAAACGCCCCUCCUGGUCUCACCGCGGGUUUGGCACUAACAGGGAGAGUGUCGGAAGGAGGUCAUUCCAGCUCAGAAAGUACAGACAGUGGCUGCUGGGGUCUGACCACAGGAAAGGUAUUGUUAAAAGGGAAUUCUGGACAAAGGGUGGUUGUGGGUCCCCUGGGGCCUCUGAGUCUGGGGUGGGCUCAGGAGGACGCAGGACACAGCAGACCCAGAUGCAGAGAGCAGUGACGGGCUCGUGGGGCUUGUGCUUGAGUGUGUGUGCACGAUUGUGUGUGUGUGUGUGUCACUGCAAAUCUCCAAAUGAAAUCUUGAUCAACAAUCGUGGUGUAAGCCUGUGA